RNAcentral lists this ribosomal RNA (253 nucleotides) under uncultured bacterium. RNAcentral describes it as "partial 16S ribosomal RNA". It matches the Rfam family "Bacterial small subunit ribosomal RNA", at positions 524 to 776 of the family's 1533-position model. The record is from RNAcentral.
UACAGAGGAUCCAAGCGUUGUUCGGAUUCACUGGGCGUAAAGGGUGCGUAGGCGGUCGGGUAAGUCUGAUGUGAAAUCUCACAGCUUAACUGUGAAACUGCAUUGGAUACUAUCCGGCUCGAGGAAUGGAGGGGAGACUGGAAUACUUGGUGUAGCAGUGAAAUGCGUAGAUAUCAAGUGGAACACCAGUGGCGAAGGCGAGUCUCUGGACAUUUCCUGACGCUGAGACACGAAAGCCAGGGGAGCAAACGGG